Molecule: ribosomal RNA, 215 nt
Filed under: uncultured bacterium
Lineage: Bacteria
Description: partial 16S ribosomal RNA
Rfam family: Bacterial small subunit ribosomal RNA
Source: RNAcentral
GACGAACGCUGGCGGCGUGCCUAACACAUGCAAGUCGAACGGGACCAGGGGCAACUCUGGUUCAGUGGCGGACGGGUGCGUAACACGUGAGGAACAUGACUUUGUGGGGAGUAGCCGGCCCGAACCGGCCGGGUAACGUACCGCGUACGACCUUUUGGGUACGAUCCCGACUUGGUUGAAAGACAGCAAUAGCGCCGAAACGAAGUGCCUCGCGG